Non-coding RNA from Cynoglossus semilaevis (tongue sole), 71 nucleotides. The record is from the annotation of a RefSeq genome assembly. Lineage: Eukaryota; Metazoa; Chordata; Actinopteri; Pleuronectiformes; Cynoglossidae.
GCCUCGUUGGCGCAGUAGGUAGCGCAUCAGUAUAAAUCUGAAGGUCGUGAGUUCGAGUCUCACAUGGGGCA